This 72-nucleotide transfer RNA is filed under the name Camelus dromedarius (Arabian camel). It matches the Rfam family "tRNA". From Rfam's summary of the family: Transfer RNA (tRNA) molecules are approximately 80 nucleotides in length. Their secondary structure includes four short double-helical elements and three loops (D, anti-codon, and T loops). RNAcentral also lists the same sequence under 1 other name. The record is from Rfam by way of RNAcentral. Lineage: Eukaryota; Metazoa; Chordata; Mammalia; Artiodactyla; Camelidae.
GAGGGUAUAGCUCAGUGGCAGAGCACAUGUUUAGCAUGCACGAGGUCCUGGGUCUAAUCCCUAGUACCUCCA